AUUGAACGCUGGCGGCAUGCCUUACACAUGCAAGUCGAACGGCAGCACGGGAGCAAUCCUGGUGGCGAGUGGCGAACGGGUGAGUAAUAUAUCGGAACGUGCCCAAUAGUGGGGGAUAGCCCGGCGAAAGCCGGAUUAAUACCGCAUGAGACCUGAGGGUGAAAGCGGGGGAUCGCAAGACCUCGCGCUAUUGGAGCGGCCGAUAUCUGAUUAGCUUGUUGGUGGGUAAAAGCCCACCAAGGCGACGAUCAGUAGCUGGUCUGAGAGGACGAUCAGCCACACUGGGACUGAGACACGGCCCAGACUCCUACGGGAGGCAGCAGUGGGGAAUUUUGGACAAUGGGGGCAACCCUGAUCCAGCAAUGCCGCGUGAGUGAAGAAGGCCUCGGGUUGUAAAGCUCUUUGUCUAGGAGAACAGCAGCUCUAACACAGUCUGCGAAUGACGGUACCUGAAGAAUAAGCAUCGGCUAACUCCG
This 476-nucleotide ribosomal RNA is filed under the name uncultured bacterium. RNAcentral's name for it is "bacterial SSU rRNA". It matches the Rfam family "Bacterial small subunit ribosomal RNA", at positions 30 to 505 of the family's 1533-position model. The record is from RNAcentral.